GGGAUUGCCCUAGUAGCGGCGAGCGAAGCGGCAACAGCCCAGAUUUGAAAUCCGGUGCUCUUUGGGCGCCCGAGUUGUAAUCUGCAGAUGGGUUUUCCGGUGAGGUGCACGUCCAAGUUCCCUGGAAUGGGACGCCGUAGAGGGUGAGAGCCCCGUACUGGCGCGGCGCCGAGCCUUUGUGUUACCCAUUCGACGAGUCGAGUAGUUUGGGAAUGCUGCUCUAAUUGCGAGGUAAAUCUCUCGUAAGGCUAAAUACCGGCCAGAGACCGAUAGCGCACAAGUAGCGUGAGCGAAAGAUGAAAAGAGCCUUGGAUAAGGGCGUCAAAAAGCAUGUGAAAUCGUUAUGGGGGAAGCGCUCGUCGCCAGACGUGGCGGCGGCCGGUUAGUCGGCGUCCUCGCCGACGCACUCGGAUCGUCGCCAGGCCAGCAACAGCUCGGACUGGGGCCUACUGCCGUCGGGAACGUAGCUCCUCUCGGGGAGUGUUAUAGCCCUUCGGCGACGCCCUGGGCCGGGCUGAGGACCGCGCCUUGUGCACGGAUGCUGGCGUAAUGGCGCCUAGCGACCCGUCUUGAAACACGGACCAAGGAGUUGACCUAGCGCGCGAGUGUACGGGUGUCAAGCCCCUGCGCGCAGUGAAAGCAAACGCUGGUGGGAGCCUUCGGGCGCACCAUCGACCGAUCCUGAUGCUCCGCGGAUGGAUUUGAGUAGGAGCGUGCUGGGUCUGACCCGAAAGAAGGUGAACUAUGCAUGGGUAGGGUGAAGCCAGAGGAAACUCUGGUGGAGGCUCGCAGCGGUUCUGACGUGCAAAUCGAUCGUCAAACCUGUGCAUGGGGGCGAA
This 839-nucleotide ribosomal RNA is filed under the name Canalisporium pulchrum. RNAcentral's name for it is "partial large subunit ribosomal RNA". It matches the Rfam family "Eukaryotic large subunit ribosomal RNA", at positions 71 to 927 of the family's 3401-position model. Lineage: Eukaryota; Fungi; Ascomycota; Sordariomycetes. The record is from RNAcentral.